This 253-nucleotide ribosomal RNA is filed under the name uncultured bacterium. RNAcentral describes it as "partial 16S ribosomal RNA". It matches the Rfam family "Bacterial small subunit ribosomal RNA", at positions 524 to 776 of the family's 1533-position model. The record is from RNAcentral. RNAcentral also lists the same sequence under 1 other name.
UACGUAGGGUGCGAGCGUUAAUCGGAAUUACUGGGCGUAAAGGGUGCGCAGGCGGUUCUGCAAGUCAGGCGUGAAAUCCCCGGGCUUAACCUGGGAAUGGCGCUUGAAACUACGGGACUGGAGUAUGGCAGAGGGAGGUGGAAUUCCACGUGUAGCGGUGAAAUGCGUAGAGAUGUGGAGGAACACCGAUGGCGAAGGCAGCCUCCUGGGCCAAUACUGACGCUCAUGCACGAAAGCGUGGGGAGCAAACAGG